RNAcentral lists this ribosomal RNA (801 nucleotides) under uncultured Bacteroidota bacterium. RNAcentral's name for it is "bacterial SSU rRNA". It matches the Rfam family "Bacterial small subunit ribosomal RNA", at positions 79 to 879 of the family's 1533-position model. Lineage: Bacteria; Pseudomonadati; Bacteroidota. The record is from RNAcentral.
CAAUACAUGCUGACGAGCGGCAGACGGGUGAGGAACACGUACGCAACUUUCCUCAAACCGGGGCACAACCUUGAGAAAUCAGGGCUAAUUCCCCACAACAUUGCGAAAGGGCAUCUGAUUGCAAUUAAAGAUUCGUCGGUUUGAGAUGGGCGUGCGUUCGAUUAGCUAGUUGGUAGGGUAACGGCUUACCAAGGCAACGAUCGAUAGCUGGUGUGAGAGCACGACCAGCCACACGGGCACUGAGAUACGGGCCCGACUCCUACGGGAGGCAGCAGUAAGGAAUAUUGGUCAAUGGACGAAAGUCUGAACCAGCCAUGCCGCGUGAGGGAUGAAGGUCCUCUGGAUUGUAAACCUCUUUUAUCUAUGAAGAAAUGUCCUGUUUCUACGGGAUUUGACGGUAAUAGAUGAAUAAGCACCGGCUAACUCCGUGCCAGCAGCCGCGGUAAUACGGAGGGUGCAAGCGUUAUCCGGAUUUACUGGGUUUAAAGGGUGCGUAGGGUGGGGUUGGUAAGUCAGUGGUGAAAUACUUUCGCUUAACGAAGGAACUGCCAUUGAUACUAUCAAUCUUGAAUGUAGUGGAGGUGGGCGGAAUGCGUCAUGUAGCGGUGAAAUGCUUAGAUAUGACGCAGAACACCAAUUGCGAAGGCAGCUUGCUACACUACUAUUGACACUGAGGCACGAAAGCGUGGGGAUCAAACAGGAUUAGAUACCCUGGUAGUCCACGCCCUAAACGAUGAUUACUCGAUCUCAGCGAUACACUGUUGGGGUCUAUGUGAAAGCAUUAAGUAAUCCACCUGGGGA